CCUACGGGGGGCUGCAGUGGGGAAUAUUGGACAAUGGGCGCAAGCCUGAUCCAGCAAUGCCGCGUGUGUGAAGAAGGCCUGCGGGUUGUAAAGCACUUUAAGCAGGAAAGAAGGGGUGAAAGUUAAUACCUUUCAUCAUUGACGUUACCUGCAGAAUAAGCACCGGCUAACUCCGUGCCAGCAGCCGCGGUAAUACGGAGGGUGCGAGCGUUAAUCGGGCGUGCUGAGCGGGAUUGGCGCGUAGGCGGUGAAAGCCCUGGGCUUAACCUGGGAACUGCGGUGGAUACUGUCGGGCUAGAGGGUGGUAGAGGGGAGUGGAAUUUCCGGUGUAGCAGUGAAAUGCGUAGAGAUCGGAAGGAACACCAGUGGCGAAGGCGGCUCCCUGGACUAACACUGACGCUGAGGUGCGAAAGCGUGGGGAGCAAACAGGAUUAGAUACCCGUGUAGUC
RNAcentral lists this ribosomal RNA (449 nucleotides) under uncultured bacterium. RNAcentral describes it as "partial 16S ribosomal RNA". It matches the Rfam family "Bacterial small subunit ribosomal RNA", at positions 338 to 795 of the family's 1533-position model. The record is from RNAcentral.